Oreochromis aureus is the source of this 846-nucleotide long non-coding RNA. The record is from Ensembl. Lineage: Eukaryota; Metazoa; Chordata; Actinopteri; Cichliformes; Cichlidae.
CUUCAAGCCGAGGGUAUCCACACGCCUUCACGUCAGCAGUGCCUGGGAAAGCUGGUGGUGCCAUUUGGACAAUAUGAACAUGCACCAUUUCGGUGGCUCGUUGCAAACGACGUGGGAUAUAUGAAGUACAACAGCUGACAAGUACCCCCAGGUGUGAUCCUUCAUUGUGGCCAAGUGAUGAUGCUGAACUGAUAGCUGCAUCCCAGUCUGUGGAAGGUAUGUGAGAUUCAGAGUUAAUAUACAUUCUACUGUUUGUACAAAGUCAUUAUAAUUACAAAACUAAUUGGUCACCUCAUUUAUAGAUUCACUGAAGUCCCAACACUCCUUGUCUGCAAGUCAACCUUUAAAGCAACGGCUGACAAGCAGAGGUGUUUCCUCCUCCCAGACGUCUGGAACAUAGGAGAACUCAGCUCCCCUGUCCAAGGAGUUUGAGAACACUGUACAGUCACCACAUCAAAAUAAAUCUACUGUGCAGCCCAAACAUCGUGAGUCCACAGAGGCUGCCAUACAGUCCAAAAAACUUGACACUGUUGGAUUCACUGAGUCAUCUGCAUCCCAGGGUCAUGAUCAUACAACACAAUUACUGUUGAGUCAUUCACCUGUGGAGCUAGAGGGAUGGGUGCGUCCCUGGGAAAAUCCUAAUGGUAUCCCAUCUGCUGACAUUUCCUGGCUUAAAGAGGACACUGAAAGAGGACUGUUUACCCCUGUUCAGACAUACAAGGAUGUUACUGGUGUGUUGAAGAGGCGACGGGUGAUUAAAUCAGAUCGCAUGUGGUUUUACCCACCAGAACCUCCUGGCUAUGCCAGGGGUGCUGUGCCCAGUGUACAGCUCUUUUUUCGCAGCCG